AGGCGACUGGAGGCAGAGACCAAGG
This 25-nucleotide non-coding RNA is filed under the name Cricetulus griseus (Chinese hamster). Lineage: Eukaryota; Metazoa; Chordata; Mammalia; Rodentia; Cricetidae. The record is from RNAcentral.